UGGGUACAUUGCUAAUUUAAAUGUAUUUUGCAUCAUUAGUAUACUUAAUCACUUUUAAGUUUUAUAAUGUUAUAAUUUUAUGUUUUUAUAAUGCUAUUUUUAAAAAUAUUUUAGCAUGCGUAAUAAAUAGAAGUGUGCAAAAAGCUCGAAGCUCGGUCGAGCUUUUUAUUUUUCGAGCCGAGCUGUGUAAAAAGCUCGAACAUUUUCGAGUACUCGAAAUAUUCGAACCCCCGUGUAAAUUUCAAUUUUUCAUUAAUUUCUAAUUCAUAAAGGGUGUAAAAUAUACAUGUAUAUCCAAAUAGCACAACAUAUGAUCUCAAUAUUGUGUCAAUAUUGCCCGGCUAUGUUUAGGCAAUGUUGCCUUAAUAUGGACUAUGUUCGAGUACUCGAAUUCACUCGAGUGCUCGAAAAACCGAGUACACGACACAUCGAGCCGAGCUCGAGCUCGGCCAUUCGAGCUUUUUACACACCUCUAGUAAUAAAUAAACAUAUUAUUUUUGCAUUUUAUUAGUUCCUUGGAAGCACAAAAUCAACAGAUUUUACAACAACAAUACAUGAUUUUCCAAGAAUUAAAUAGAAUAAACAAUGUGGAAAAGGAGAAAUUAUCGGAAACGUUCUUAUCACCACUCACAGGUUACCCUUUAAACGAGUUUUCAGAAUUUAAUUUUUUUGAAUCUGAAGAGGGGAAAGAGACUCGUACGAAACUCUAUAAUCAUUUACUUAAUAACGGAGGAACUUCUCUGAGAAGUUUUUUGUCUAAUGCGUUGCGUCAAACACUGACAGAUAAACUUGUUUGUAAUUUUACAUGGAAUGGGAAAAAGGACACCAUGAAUUUUGGCAACACGAGACUUGCGAAUGUUUUAUAUCAAUCUGCUAAACAGUGCAUGAAUUUAAAAGGACCUUUAAAUAAGGAAGAUUAUAAGUCCCACAUGUUCGAAGUACUGCGGCACACAAAACAGCGCUAUCGAAGCAAUAUUAAAAAAAACCUACCGUCUACAGCCGACGAAUUAGAAAGAGCAAUAUUAGAAUUGGAAGCCAGCAAUUUAGACGAAGGUGAAGAAGAUGAAGAUAAUGCCAAUGAUAAUGAGGAUGAUAAUGAGGAUGGUGAUGAUGAAGAUGAUGGUAGCGAUGACGAUAAAGAAGUUUAUGGAGCUGAUGAGUUCAAUUUAGAAUAAAGUUUAUUUAUUUAUUUAUGCCUGUAGAACAAUAAUAUCUUUAAUUUUUUCAUUUCAGGUGACUGCGAAAGGCCCUGGAGUGUACCAAAAAUUUUUUGUUUUUUUCCGAGGAGUCUACUUCGACGUUAAAAAUUAGUAACACAUUAAGGUUUUAUCACGUGGAAAUCCACGUCGAGAUUUGAAGCGAUCUAGAUGGAAUCCGUCAGGAAUUUUUUACAAUCUAAAUAAGCAUCAAAUGUAUUUAAGAACCUUUUUGAUAACGUGGAUAAUCAGGACUUACACCCUUUUGGAGUCUCAAAAUUAAAUUUGAUAACUAUUUUUUAAUAUCCCUGAAAGUUUAAAAGAUGAACAAAUUUUCAUUUAAAUUUGUGCCCGCAUAGUUUUAAUCACUACAUGAAUUUCCACCUGAAAAUUUUUUUCAGUUAGUUCAAUUUGGUAAAAUAAAAAUAUUUUUCAAUUGAAGCCAAGAUUUUUUUAAUAUCAAAAGAAUAAUUGAAGGGUAGAAUGACAAAAGGGGUCAAGCGCCAAUUCACUUUUUUUACAGGAAAUAAAAAAAACAUAUUUAAAAAUUCUGCAGGUCAUUUAAAAAAACUGAGAAAACCGUUUCGAGAUAUUAGUAUGUUUUAAUAAAUAAACAACAAUUUGUUAAAAUAUACCUACAUAUUAAUGAGAAAAGUAAAAAAAAACUCUGGUGCUUUGAGGUUAUAUCAACUGCGCACAUUUUCUUUAAGCAUUAAUUGUGAAAAAAUAUACAAUUUAAAGAAAAUGUGGGAAAUUAGUUUCUUUCUAUUGAUUCGACGAAUUGAAUAAAAAAAGAUUGCUUCAAAGAAGUUAUUUAUUUUCAAGAAAAUUGAGAAUUAAGUAUUCUGGUUUGAAAAUUGAGCAAUACUCUAAUUUUUAAAUUUAAAUAUUAACAAUUAUUGUCAUCAGAACUAUUACUAUUACAAAAAUGUGUACAAGAAUUUACUUGAUUUUUUAAUGAAAAAACCUCAAUUUUGAAAAAUUGGCGCUUGACCCCAUUUGUCAUUCUACCCUUCAAUUUCCCUCAAUUAAACAAUUGCAAUAAAAGGAGAAACUUAAAAAAAUCAUUUUCUUGGGUGAAUGAAUCACUUAAGGGGAAGCACUACCUUUAUUUUGACCUUAACA
Leptopilina boulardi is the source of this 2321-nucleotide RNA transcript. RefSeq lists it as uncharacterized. The record is from RefSeq and is a predicted model, not a curated record. Lineage: Eukaryota; Metazoa; Arthropoda; Insecta; Hymenoptera; Figitidae. The transcript is spliced from 4 exons.